Molecule: long non-coding RNA, 89 nt
Organism: Rhagoletis zephyria (snowberry fruit fly)
Lineage: Eukaryota; Metazoa; Arthropoda; Insecta; Diptera; Tephritidae
Source: RefSeq, a predicted model, not a curated record
GCGGUGAAAAAAAACUAAGAUUAUGUGUUCCGUCAACUGAUUACUCGAUUCUUAAAAACACUGAUUUGGUAUUACGAGAUACGUGAUCG